RNAcentral lists this long non-coding RNA (734 nucleotides) under Pan troglodytes (chimpanzee). RNAcentral describes it as "lincRNA". The record is from RNAcentral. Lineage: Eukaryota; Metazoa; Chordata; Mammalia; Primates; Hominidae.
GUCUGGCAGUCCCUAGUGAGAUGAACCCGGUACCUCAGAUGGAAAUGCAGAAAUCACCCGUCUUCUGCGUCGCUCACGCUGGGAGCUGUAGACCGGAGCUGUUCCUAUUCGGCCAUCUUGGCUCCUCUCCCUCUUUAAAGUGAGUGUGAUUUUGAAGAAAGGAGGAAAGAUGUGAAAAGUGAUUAGUCAGCCACAUUCAUGGUGUUGAGAAAAGAAUUUGCUUUUCUGGAACAUAGCCUGUGAUAGCAGAACAACACCUGGCAAGAAACAGGUUAUGUUUGGCUGGAGAGUCAUUGGCACUAUCAAGAAAUAUUAAAGUGUAGAUUUGAGAGAGGAGGAGAAAGACCCAAGCAAAAUUGAAAACCAGGUGGGACCCAGACAGCAGCAAAGCAAUGGAAGCAUGUAUUUUGGUCAAUAUAGAGUUAAUACACAAUUUUGCCCCUCUUCUUCUGAUCAUGGGACUCAUAUUACCAGUCUUCACAUUUCCUUUAAAUUCAGGAAUCAGGAAGAAUUUCCAGAGUUUGCAGAUAGGGACACAUUUGCUGCUUCCAUUCUAAACAUAAGUUAUAAGACAUUUUCAACUGGAUUCCAACUUUAAUAUGUCACAAACAUAAAAAAGAAAGCUAUUUCCUGGACUUUUCUUCGUUAGAAAUUAAUAGAUUGUCAAUUGGCAUAGGGAAAAGAUUAUCAACAGAUGCCAACCCCAAGUUAACAGAAAUGCUAAAAUUAUAAGA